Molecule: ribosomal RNA, 449 nt
Filed under: Micrococcus luteus
Lineage: Bacteria; Bacillati; Actinomycetota; Actinomycetes; Micrococcales; Micrococcaceae
Description: bacterial SSU rRNA
Rfam family: Bacterial small subunit ribosomal RNA
Source: RNAcentral
UCCUACGGGAGGCAGCAGUGGGGAAUAUUGCACAAUGGGCGCAAGCCUGAUGCAGCGACGCCGCGUGAGGGAUGACGGCCUUCGGGUUGUAAACCUCUUUCAGUAGGGAAGAAGCGAAAGUGACGGUACCUGCAGAAGAAGCACCGGCUAACUACGUGCCAGCAGCCGCGGUAAUACGUAGGGUGCGAGCGUUAUCCGGAAUUAUUGGGCGUAAAGAGCUCGUAGGCGGUUUGUCGCGUCUGUCGUGAAAGUCCGGGGCUUAACCCCGGAUCUGCGGUGGGUACGGGCAGACUAGAGUGCAGUAGGGGAGACUGGAAUUCCUGGUGUAGCGGUGGAAUGCGCAGAUAUCAGGAGGAACACCGAUGGCGAAGGCAGGUCUCUGGGCUGUAACUGACGCUGAGGAGCGAAAGCAUGGGGAGCGAACAGGAUUAGAUACCCUGGGGUAGUCC